This is a long non-coding RNA of Stegodyphus dumicola, 276 nucleotides long. NCBI's taxonomy places the organism in Eukaryota, Metazoa, Arthropoda, Arachnida, Araneae, Eresidae. The record is from RefSeq and is a predicted model, not a curated record.
CUGUCAAUCAUCAUUUGCUGACUGUAUCUGUCAAGCUGACUACACAGACUAUAGUAGCCAAAGAUAAGUUGUAGAAAGUGUGUUUCAGAGUUGAAUAUAUGAAUUAAAGCAUUGGCACAGUGAAUGGCAGCUGAAAAAUUUUGACCCUUGUUUCUGGAAGUGAAAUGUUAGAUGGUUUGAUGAAGUGCCACAGAGAUUAUCGCUUAAAGAAUGCGUGCAGGCCAACCACCAACACAAGAUAUUAAAAGAGCAAUGAAAAUGAAGAUUUAACUAUAA